AAAGGUGAAUGUUUUUCUUUUCAUCUCCAUGUUCCUGAUUAUUAAUUUUCUUCCUAUUUUCUUUAUGGUCUAUUUUUUUUCUUCUUUUUUCCUCCUUGUAAAGUUGAAUAAUAAUGGAGUUUCUGACUCCUAACUUUGUAGUACAAAUUGGUGAAUAAUCAGAGAUUUUUCAAUGUUACCUUUGGAGAACCAAGGAACUACCUUCAAAAAUCUUCCGCUACAGGUUUUGGUAAAUCUGGCAAAUUCUUCUUCACUUUUUUAAAAAUAUUAACUUGUCUAUGAUUAAUCCUGUAUGUGAUGCUCUAGCUUUUGUAAAUUUUUCAAAACUUGGGUAUUUUUUUGGAAAAUACAUUUAUUUUUACUAAAUCUUAACUAAACAUAAUUUAUUUUGCCGACCAAAAGAUGAUGGCAGUACACCUAAAAUGUCCACUAUUUGGCUUCACUGUUUCUGAGAAGUGGAUUGAAACUGCCUUAAAUCUCUGAGAUUUAAAAUCUCUGAAGAAGCUCUGAGACACACCUCCCUGAUGCAGAAACCCGAAGAAUAAAUUCAUGGAUGCCGAAUUUUCAUUACUUUUACCCUCUAUCCUGGAUUGGUCCUUUGGCACCCAUGGAAGCAUCACACUUAGAAUUAAGUGUCACGAUGCUGAGCAGUGCUCAGGAUGAAAACUGUGUAUUAGAACAAUUACGCCUCAGGGUGAAUGUGUAAGUAUAAUGAUACUGAAACUUGGCUUCUUUUCAAAAUAUACAAGUCUCUGACAGUUUGGUAUUGAAAAGCAAGUGAUUCACAUACAUAAAAAAUAGAAGCAGACCAAAAAUGUCAAGGUUUGACAGAGGGCAAAUCCAAAAUACUUCCAAUAAGAGGAAAAAGAGUUCAUUUUAAAAGCGUAAUUGCUGAGUGUCUUCUCA
Molecule: long non-coding RNA, 906 nt
Filed under: Parus major (Great Tit)
Lineage: Eukaryota; Metazoa; Chordata; Aves; Passeriformes; Paridae
Description: lncRNA (ENSPMJG00000002628.1)
Source: RNAcentral